AGUGGCUUAGAUGGCAUAGCUAUUCAGCAGAUUUCAGCUGGAACAUCCCAUAGUCUGGCAUGGACUGCUCUUCCUAGGGACAGACAAGUUGUUGCAUGGCACCGACCUUAUUGUGUAGAUCUUGAAGAGAGUACCUUCUCACAUCUGCGUUCUUUUCUUGAGAGAUACUGUGAUAAAAUAAACAGUGAGAUUCCCCCACUCCCUUUCCCAUCAUCAAGAGAACACCACAGUUUUCUCAAGCUGUGCCUGAAGCUACUUUCAAAUCACCUUGCUCUUGCACUUGCGGGAGGGGUGGCUACCAGCAUUCUCGGGAGGCAGGCAGGUCCACUUCGAAAUUUGCUCUUCAGACUGAUGGACUCAACUGUCCCAGAUGAAAUCCAAGAGGUGGUAAUUGAAACUUUGUCAGUGGGGGCAACCAUGCUGUUACCUCCAUUACGAGAACGGAUGGAAUUACUUCAUUCUCUUUUACCUCAAGGACCUGAUAGAUGGGAAAGCUUAUCUAAAGGACAGGUAGGCCUUUGCUUGCUAUGUAAGUAAACCAGUAGUAUCAUAAAAAUUUGGACUGAGAAGGAAGUAAAACUAAUCAAUUGC
RNAcentral lists this small RNA (591 nucleotides) under Pongo abelii (Sumatran orangutan). RNAcentral's name for it is "retained intron". Lineage: Eukaryota; Metazoa; Chordata; Mammalia; Primates; Hominidae. The record is from RNAcentral.